UUUGAGUUAGGGGUGGAAACUUGUUUAAGAUCUGGGUUGGUUUGGGGAAAUAGAAGGAAUCUGGCCUGGGUUUUAGGAUUGUUCUACCUGGGAUCUUUGUUUCUGUCGUUCCAUUGGCUCCUUAACCAGAUUGUUCGAUUGAUAUCUAAUUUAUCAAUCCCAAUUGAGUAGCUGACGAAGAAGGGCUUGUGGAUUGUUGUUGAUUACACAGCUCAAGAAAUGGACAUCUGCUUCCUCUCAAAAUCCCGAAGAAAGAAAACCAGUUUUGUAAUUGCUGUUAAGUAUGGGAUUGUAGAUCCAAGUACAACAUCAAUUAUGGGAUAUGUUUGUUACAGAAACCCAGAGGAGAUCCCAUGGGAUCAAUUUGGUGCCGAUGUUGUUGUUGGAGUCUACUAGAGUGUUCACUGACAAGGAAAAAGACGCUGCGCACUUAAAGUGAGGCAGACAAUGGGAUUAAGAAACCAGAAUUUUCAAGGAAUCCUAGAUAUCAUGACAUCCUUAUGGAUGAAGUAUAUCCUGCAAAAGAAUCUUGGUCCAGAAUGUCAUUUGGAAAGGAAAAUGUCAAGGUACAUAUUCUUACGUACGUUAUCUUGGUCUAUAGGACCAACAGUGUGUCAAUUUCCACACUUCACAUUAGUUCUUUGUCCUUUGUAUGAAGAAUCAUUGUAUGAGUUACAUGUGUUCUAAAAUUGUAUGAGUUACAAGUGUUCUAAAAUUUAAACAUAGAUAUAGAAGACCAGCAGUGUCUAUUGUAAAGUUUAAGGACAAGGAUGUCACUGGGAAGAGAAUUCAAGGGGUAUGCUGUGUUUCAUAGUUUCAUAGAUUGUCUCAAUUUCAUAUCCAUGGUUUUUCUGUUCAAUUUCACAUCAAACCUACUUGCUUUAGGACUAUGCCACCUUGCGACCGUUGCUCUUCUGAUCUGCUACUUACCUUUUUUUAUUGUGUAGUGAACGUUCAAGUUUAUGGUUUGGAAUGAAAAGACCAGAAACCAUGAUUCCUUUUUUUGUUACUAUUGUAUGCAGUUCCAAU
This is a long non-coding RNA of Rosa chinensis, 1029 nucleotides long. RefSeq lists it as uncharacterized. The record is from RefSeq and is a predicted model, not a curated record. NCBI's taxonomy places the organism in Eukaryota, Viridiplantae, Streptophyta, Magnoliopsida, Rosales, Rosaceae. The transcript is spliced from 4 exons.